This 724-nucleotide ribosomal RNA is filed under the name Streptomyces sp. LK2132.1. RNAcentral describes it as "partial 16S ribosomal RNA". It matches the Rfam family "Bacterial small subunit ribosomal RNA", at positions 70 to 808 of the family's 1533-position model. The record is from RNAcentral. Lineage: Bacteria; Bacillati; Actinomycetota; Actinomycetes; Kitasatosporales; Streptomycetaceae.
AAAACCUCCUUCGGGAGGUUAUUAAUGGCGAACGGGUGAGUAACACGUGGGCAAUCUGCCCUUCACUCUGGGACAAGCCCUGGAAACGGGGUCUAAUACCGGAUACGACCUCCGACCGCAUGGUCUGGUGGUGGAAAGCUCCGGCGGUGAAGGAUGAGCCCGCGGCCUAUCAGCUUGUUGGUGGGGUGAUGGCCUACCAAGGCGACGACGGGUAGCCGGCCUGAGAGGGCGACCGGCCACACUGGGACUGAGACACGGCCCAGACUCCUACGGGAGGCAGCAGUGGGGAAUAUUGCACAAUGGGCGAAAGCCUGAUGCAGCGACGCCGCGUGAGGGAUGACGGCCUUCGGGUUGUAAACCUCUUUCAGCAGGGAAGAAGCGAGAGUGACGGUACCUGCAAAAGAAGCGCCGGCUAACUACGUGCCAGCAGCCGCGGUAAUACGUAGGGCGCAAGCGUUGUCCGGAAUUAUUGGGCGUAAAGAGCUCGUAGGCGGCUUGUCACGUCGGAUGUGAAAGCCCGGGGCUUAACCCCGGGUCUGCAUUCGAUACGGGCAGGCUAGAGUUCGGUAGGGGAUAUCGGAAUUCCUGGUGUAGCGGUGAAAUGCGCAGAUAUCAGGANNGAACACCGGUGGCGAAGGCGGAUCUCUGGGNCGAUACUGACNCUGAGNANCNAAGCGUGGGGAGNNNANANNAUUAAAUACCCNNGNAGUCCACNCCGUAAACG